CAUGAACCACCUUGGCAGCUGGGAGGACAGCCCUAGUUGAGGAAGAUGGUCAAUUAAAUCUUCAACCAAGUCUGAGGCCUUACCAUAAAAAAUAUGUAGUGAGUUGAAAUGUUUCACAAAAGUUAUAAUAUUAUAAGCUUUUAAAAUUAUUUGUUUAUUAAGGGAUACGUUUGAUUAUAAGGAUAUCUUCAUCAUUGCAUAGCAUGUUUUUAUGCCCCACCUACGUUCGUCCGCAGGUUAAAGUUUUUGGUCAAGGUAGUUUUUGAUGAAGCUGAAGUCCAAUCAACUAGAAACUUAGUUCACUUGUUGCUUAUGAUAUGAUCUUUCUAAUUUUAAAGCCAAAUUAGACUUUUGACCCCAAUUUCACGGUCAACUGAACAUAGAAAAUGAAAAUGGGAGUUUCAGGUUUAAAUUUUUGGUCAAGGUAGUUACUGAUGAAGCUGAAGUCCAAUCAACUUGAAACUUAGUACACUUACUGCUUAUGAUAUGAUCUUUCUAAUUUUAAAGCCAAAUUAGACUUGACCCAAUUUCACGGUCCAUGGAACAUGGAAAAUGAUAGUGCCAGUGGGGCAUCCGUGUACUUUAUACACAUUCUUGUUUUCAUAGCAACUAAUUUUUUGCAUUAAAAUGUAUUUGUUUUCUACCUUUGAUAUCAUGUUUACAUAUUGAAGAUGAUAGUAUAUAACAAAUUCAUAAGAAAUGAAACAAGGCAUAAUCAUGUUACUGUUCUUUGUUGUAAAUUAUUCUUUAAAGCAAGUAUAUUUUUUUUCUUCAGGUUGUUGAAAUUACAAUGUUUUCCUGGUGUUGGGAGUAUUACUAAGACUUGGAUAUCUGAUACUGUUAACAUGUUGGUAGGUAUUCAAAAAUUGUUUAAAUAAUUUUAAUAGUAUUUGACAUCAAUCAAUUUUUUGAAGGUUUUAAUUACUAUACAAUAUGAAUGAAGUUUAUAUUUCUGUUGAAAAUUUAAAAAAUCAUUAGUUUGGUUUUGAAUACCAAAUAUAUCUUUGCUGAAUUUUGUUUGUAAUCCUUAAUUUGAGAAUUCAAACAGGGAAUGUAUCAAAGAGACAACAAACUGGCCAAUGGGCAAAAACAGCCGUACUGCCAACAAUUAGUCUUCAACACAUUGAGAAAAUUCCGUACCCAAAGGCUUUAAAAAAAGAAAUUAUGAUGUACAUAUCAAUUUUUUAAGAUGAGAAACACUGACCUUGAACUUUGUUUUACAGGUUAGCAUCAAGUUUCCUUGGGGUAACUUGCUUGGGGAGAA
RNAcentral lists this long non-coding RNA (1264 nucleotides) under Mytilus galloprovincialis (Mediterranean mussel). Lineage: Eukaryota; Metazoa; Mollusca; Bivalvia; Mytilida; Mytilidae. The record is from RNAcentral.